This 400-nucleotide ribosomal RNA is filed under the name uncultured bacterium. RNAcentral's name for it is "bacterial SSU rRNA". It matches the Rfam family "Bacterial small subunit ribosomal RNA", at positions 129 to 524 of the family's 1533-position model. The record is from RNAcentral.
CCUGGUAGUGGGGGACAACGUUUCGAAAGGAACGCUAAUACCGCAUACGUCCUACGGGAGAAAGCAGGGGACCUUUGGGCCUUGCGCUAUCAGAUGAGCCUAGGUCGGAUUAGCUAGUUGGUGGGGUAAUGGCUCACCAAGGCGACGAUCCGUAACUGGUCUGAGAGGAUGAUCAGUCACACUGGAACUGAGACACGGUCCAGACUCCUACGGGAGGCAGCAGUGGGGAAUAUUGGACAAUGGGCGAAAGCCUGAUCCAGCCAUGCCGCGUGUGUGAAGAAGGUCUUCGGAUUGUAAAGCACUUUAAGUUGGGAGGAAGGGCAGUAAGUUAAUACCUUGCUGUNUUGACGUUACCGACAGAAUAAGCACCGGCUAACUCUGUGCCAGCAGCCGCGGUAAU